UACGUAGGUGGCAAGCGAUACUCGGAAUCACUAGGCGUAAAGCGCAGGUAGGCGGUUUGGUAAGUCUUUUGUGAAAGCUCCCGGCUCAACUGGGAGAGGCCAAAGGAAACUACUAGACUAGAGUGUGGUAGGGGAUACUGGAAUUCCCGGUGUAGUGGUGAAAUGCGUAGAGAUCGGGAGGAACACCAGUGGCGAAGGCGGCCGGCUGGGGGUGCCCUGACGCUGAGGCGCGAAAGCGUGGGGAGCGAACCGGG
This 254-nucleotide ribosomal RNA is filed under the name uncultured bacterium. Its description in RNAcentral is "partial 16S ribosomal RNA". It matches the Rfam family "Bacterial small subunit ribosomal RNA", at positions 524 to 777 of the family's 1533-position model. The record is from RNAcentral.